UUCUUUUGUUGUGGUCCUCCGGAAGAGCUUGCUCCACCUUUCCUAGAUGCCAUUUAUCCGGAACCUUGGUUGACCGUUUGUGUUUUGGGUGAGGGUUGGGUGUUGGGGAAAUGUUUUGAGUAGAAAAGGUUGGUUGGGUGAUGGGGUUGGGGUUUGAGUAAGUGGUAGGAGUUGGAUUGGGUGAAUGGAUGAAGAAUUUGUGGGUUUUUAGGUAGGUGAAUGGGGGCUACGAAUUUGAUGAUAUUUGGGAGGGAUGGAGGAAA
Molecule: long non-coding RNA, 263 nt
Filed under: Medicago truncatula (barrel medic)
Lineage: Eukaryota; Viridiplantae; Streptophyta; Magnoliopsida; Fabales; Fabaceae
Description: long non-coding RNA (MTRU_LNC004343)
Source: RNAcentral